ACUACUUUUCUUGUGACAGAGGCCUACAGAGCCCUACACUACAGCUUACAGUACAGAGCCCUAGACUACAGCUUAAAGUACAGAGCCCUACACUACAGCUUACAGUACAGAGCCCUAGACUACAGCUUACAGUACAGAGCCCUACACUACAGCUUACAGUACAGAGCCCUAGACUACAGCUUACAGUACAGAACCCUAGACUACAGCUUACAGUACAGAGCCCUAGACUACAGCUUACAGUACAGAGCCCUACACUACAGCUUACAGUACAGAGCCCUACACUACAGCUUACAGUACAGAGCCCUACACUACAGCUUACAGUACAGAGCCCUACACUACAGCUUACAGUACAGAGCCCUACACUACAGCUUACAGUACAGAGCCCUACACUACAGCUUACAGUACAGAGCCCUACACUACAGCUUACAGUACAGAGCCCUACACUACAGCUUACAGUACAGAGCCCUAGACUACAGUUUACAGUAUAGAGCCCUACACUACAGCUUACAGUACAGAGCCCUACACUACAGCUUACAGUACAGAACCCUACACUACAGCUUACAGUACAGAGCCCUACACUACAGCUUACAGUACAGAGCCCUACACUACAGCUUACAGUACAGAGCCCUACACUACAGCUUCCAGUACAGAGCCCUACACUACAGCUUACAGUACAGAGCCCUACACUACAGCUUACAGUACAGAGCCCUACACUACAGCUUCCAGUACAGAGCCCUACACUACAGCUUCCAGUACAGAGCCCUACACUACAGCUUACAGUACAGAGCCCUACACUACAGUUUACAGUACAGAGCCCUACACUACAGCUUCCAGUACAGAGCCCUACACUACAGCUUACAGUACAGAGCCCUACACUACAGCUUCCAGUACAGAGCCCUACACUACAGCUUCCAGUACAGAGCCCUACACUACAGCUUACAGUACAGAGCCCUACACUACAGUUUACAGUACAGAGCCCUACACUACAGCUUCCAGUACAGAGCCCUACACUACAGCUUCCAGUACAGAGCCCUACACUACAGCUUACAGUACAGAGCCCUACACUACAGUUUACAGUACAGAACCCUACACUACAGCUUCCAGUACAGAGCCCUACACUACAGCUUCCAGUACAGAGCCCUACACUACAGCUUACAGUACAGAGCCCUACACUACAGCUUCCAGUACAGAGCCCUACACUACAGCUUACAGUACAGAGCCCUACACUACAGCUUACAGUACAGAACCCUACACUACAGCUUCCAGUACAGAGCCCUAGACUACAGCUUCCAGUACAGAGCCCUACACUACAGCUUCCAGUACAGAGCCCUACACUACAGCUUCCAGUACAGAGCCCUACACUACAGUUUACAGUACAGAGCCCUACACUACAGCUUCCAGUACAGAGCCCUACACUACAGCUUACAGUACAGAGCCCUACACUACAGCUUCCAGUACAGAGCCCUACACUACAGCUUCCAGUACAGAGCCCUACACUACAGUUUACAGUACAGAGCCCUACACUACAGCUUCCAGUACAGAGCCCUACACUACAGCUUCCAGUACAGAGCCCUACACUACAGCUUACGUGAGCAGUUGUGCAACGUAUAA
This is a long non-coding RNA of Oncorhynchus kisutch (coho salmon), 1611 nucleotides long. NCBI's taxonomy places the organism in Eukaryota, Metazoa, Chordata, Actinopteri, Salmoniformes, Salmonidae. The record is from Ensembl.